UACAGAGGGUGCGAGCGUUAAUCGGAAUUACUGGGCGUAAAGCGCACGUAGUCGGCUUUGCAAGUCGGUUGUGAAAUCCCCGGGCUCAACCUGGGAACUGCAUCCGAGACUGCAUUGCUAGAGUAUGGGAGAGGAAAGCGGAAUUUCUGGUGUAGCAGUGAAAUGCGUAGAUAUCAGAAGGAACAUCAGUGGCGAAGGCGGAUCUCUGGGCCUUGCCUGACGCUGAGGCGCGAAAGCUAGGGGAGCGAACAGG
RNAcentral lists this ribosomal RNA (253 nucleotides) under uncultured bacterium. Its description in RNAcentral is "partial 16S ribosomal RNA". It matches the Rfam family "Bacterial small subunit ribosomal RNA", at positions 524 to 776 of the family's 1533-position model. The record is from RNAcentral.